Molecule: non-coding RNA, 741 nt
Filed under: Pongo abelii (Sumatran orangutan)
Lineage: Eukaryota; Metazoa; Chordata; Mammalia; Primates; Hominidae
Source: RNAcentral
CUUCGGUAAACGUUACUUACGUGCAUCUCAUAAAUCAGGUGUCUGAGUUCUCAGGAUGUGGCUGCAGUCUACCAUUGAAUUACAUCCUGUGAGCAAUGUUGUCCGAUUUCACUGGCCAGCACAUUCUUCUCGAGUGUGGGAUUGGUUUAUGCAAGCCCUAGAAAGGAUUUUGAUAAGCCACCAGCUUAAGGCCGGCUGAAAAAGAAGAAAGAAGAAAGGAGGGCAUAUGUGGGUCAGCUCACUCGGACUAGAAGAAGAAUCAGCUUUUCUUGUGCACGUGCAACAGUGGAAGUGAUGGCUGACUGUGCGUUGGCUCCAUAAGAAGAACGUCACAGAAAGCAAAAUGGUGCCAGCUCAACACCAGUAUCCUCAGACGCUUCAGACAGCAAAACCUGUUAAUUCCAAUCACAAUUCAUUCUUUCAUUCAGCUCAUGGAAGCAAAGCAGGGCUUUGGGACAUUCAUUCUGGCAAAGUGAAACAAAUGACUUUUUGUGAAUGCUAUUUAAGUUGUUUAAAUUUUCCACAUUGGAAAUAAAGUCACUGCAUUUUUGUGAGGAUAAAACACAAAUUGUGGUGGAGUCCAGCGUCAUGGUAACAAUAAUAUUCCUACUAAAUUAAGACACUAAUGAAACAGAAAUGUGAUUGGAACAGGUCGUGGUGCACACACAAUUUGUUAUUGCAUAUAAAUAAAUGUCAAUAUUCUAUAAAUUGAAAUAGAUGUACGUGACAAAAUUUACAAAA